Molecule: long non-coding RNA, 373 nt
Filed under: Phoenix dactylifera (date palm)
Lineage: Eukaryota; Viridiplantae; Streptophyta; Magnoliopsida; Arecales; Arecaceae
Description: long non-coding RNA (PDAC_LNC003260)
Source: RNAcentral
CCUUUUUAUGCCUAGAGAGAAAAAGGAUCAAAGGGAGUAUCCCCUUCAACAAUACAGGAUUUAAAUCUAUUGAUCGUAGGGUCCUAACAGCCGAGAUCUCUAACAUUACACUUGAAUUUGCAUUUUGAUAAUUUAAACUACGUCCCGUAUUCAUGUAGCCUGAAUCUAAGCUACCAAAAAAAGAAAAACUUUUCUUAGUUGAAGAAGCCUUCCUUGAAUUGAAGACUUGAAGUUCGGGAGUUUGUUUUUUACUUAAAUGAGGACUGAAAAUUCAACAACAAUGGGACCAGAACUCAACCAUGAAAAGGGGCUUGAUGAAUCAGGUACACCUAAUAUAUAAUAUCAUACAAUACUCACUCUCUUCUCUUUUUAU